RNAcentral lists this long non-coding RNA (969 nucleotides) under Homo sapiens (human). RNAcentral's name for it is "HSALNT0168193". The record is from RNAcentral. Lineage: Eukaryota; Metazoa; Chordata; Mammalia; Primates; Hominidae.
GUUUGAGCUUCUACUCCAUUGGAGUCUCCGCACUAGAAAGAUUUGAAGGACGGAGCACAGAGCACCAUUGAAUGGGUUUACAAUCAGAUGGGAAAACAGGCUUAAGGAAGGAUAAGUAACUUGUUCAAGUACUGGCUCCUGAGCUCAGAGAAGAUAAGGAGAGGAUCAUGCUGGCGUGAGCACUGACCACAGAGGGAACGAGAGACCCAAGAAAUACCCUUUCCCUGUGGUGACAGGAUGGAAACUGCCAAUCUCUCUGCAGGCGCCCCUCUGGCUGGUAGGAGGCACCAGAACACACUGCAUGCUCCAGUGUGUGAUAUGCUGCUGUUUCUUAAAAGCCUGUGUGAGAGGUCAGUGCCACCAAGUGGCUGAAAGAAACUGAUGUAUAAAGGCUUCCUGGGAGUGAAAUGGUUCUUUCAGAAUGGCUUUUGGAUGAUACAUAUAUCUCUGAUGACAUAGAGAAACAUGCACUGCCUCAGUUGGGAUUAGAGGAUCUGAGCAGUGGCUGGCCACUCCAAUCACCAUGCUGUGCUGCCUUCUUCCAAGCCCCAUCUCACCAGAUCAUAUGGUCACAGCAGAAGGCCAACCACAAUGUUGACCUACGAGUGCAAGGCAUGUGUAAUGGGAUCAAGCAAGGUUCUCUGAGAUGCUGAAAUGAGAUACAGAAUACAAUGAUUAUAUUCAGGUUUGGGCAAUUGUGAAUAUCACUGCUGUAAACAUUCAUGCACAGGUUUUUAUGUGAACAUAAGUUUUCAUUUCUCUGUGGAAGACAAAUAGGAACAGGAUUCCUAGUUCAUAUGAAAGGCAAACCACAAAAGACAAAAAGAGAAAGAAGGACCUCCAGAGUGGGAGAAUAACUCCUCGCCUGUCAGGUAGGUUACACUCACUGUGUGCAUCCCUGAUAUAAAAUGGUGAAACAUUUGCAUAACCCAUCCUCCCAUGUACUUUACAUCAUCUCUAGAUUUACUU